AUUGAACGCUGGCGGCAUGCUUUACACAUGCAAGUCGAACGGUAACAGGCCUUCGGGUGCUGACGAGUGGCGCACGGGUGAGUAAUGCAUCGGAACGUACCCAGAGGUGGGGGAUAACGCAGCGAAAGCUGUGCUAAUACCGCAUGUGAUCUGAGGAUGAAAGCGGGGGACCGAGCAGCAAUGUUUGGCCUCGCGCCUUUGGAGCGGCCGAUGUCGGAUUAGCUAGUUGGUGAGGUAAAGGCCUACCAAGGCGACGAUCCGUAGCUGGUCUGAGAGGACGACCAGCCACACUGGGACUGAGACACGGCCCAGACUCCUACGGGAGGCAGCAGUGGGGAAUUUUGGACAAUGGGCGCAAGCCUGAUCCAGCAAUGCCGCGGGCGGGAAGAAGGCCUUCGGGUUGUAAACCGCUUUUGGCAGGAACGAAACGGUGUCCGCUAAUACCGGGCGCUAAUGACGGUACCUGCAGAAUAAGCACCGGCUAACUACGU
Molecule: ribosomal RNA, 491 nt
Filed under: uncultured bacterium
Lineage: Bacteria
Description: partial 16S ribosomal RNA
Rfam family: Bacterial small subunit ribosomal RNA
Source: RNAcentral